Bufo gargarizans (Asiatic toad) is the source of this 2186-nucleotide long non-coding RNA. RefSeq lists it as uncharacterized. Lineage: Eukaryota; Metazoa; Chordata; Amphibia; Anura; Bufonidae. The record is from RefSeq and is a predicted model, not a curated record. The transcript is spliced from 3 exons.
UUUGAGGAUAGCCCAGCAAUAUCAGAUCUGCCGGGGGUUCAGCACCCAAGCUGAUCAGCUGUUAGCUUGUAGCACCAGCACUACACAGCUCUGUCCAUUAUGUAGUGUGCAGAGCUGGUCACUGCAGUUACCAGCAAUGUCCACUGCAGGGUGGACAACCCUGUGUAGUUCCAGUGCUAGUGCUACAAGCUGGAUGAUCUAUUCUGAGGAUAGGCAUCAAAAUCCCGGACAACCACUUUAACACUUUAUGUAAAAAUUCCCUUGUAGAUAAAUAAGGGGCUCAAUUCAUUUAUAUACGCUCAUUGACCAAAAAAACAAUAAAGAAAUGUUGUAUUGCUGCCAGUUGUGGCAUGUAGCUAUCUCUCAGGCAGAUAUGUAAAUGAUUAGAGCUGUGGUCUGAUGUUGGGUCAGCCACUGACCACUACCCAUCGGAUCAGUAAGAAUGGAGGUAAGUUCCCUGACACAGUCCCAGAAGCGUCACAAUUUUUUUGCAUCAAUGGUGGAUCUCUGGCCCUGAGGGGGAUCGCACCCAGCUUAUUUCUAACUGUGCAGAUUUUUGCUUUUUACUUUUAAUUACUUGACCCUAAAAGAUUUUCACCAUGUCUAUAGAACAAACUUCUGGAUGUGAACACCCUGAUGUCUUCUCCUAUACCCAUGAGGAUGAGGAACCGAUACUACAGAACACAGUGAGAGAUGUCUCCUUCCUUUCUACUUUUUCUGUUGCGUAUCUAAAGGAGUAUGAAACAGAAUCCAAACGCCUGAUUAAUUUAGAGUGAAUUGCAGACCACGAAAAUUCGCAAAUGGAGGAUUACACCACUGGCUUUGUUUAUAAUUGGCAAAGGAAAUUGAGGAGGAAUCAGAAACCGUUGGCUAGAAAUGGAUCUACUACUCCCUCACGUUCUAGAAAGUCUAAAACACAGACCCAGCUGCAACCAUGACAGUCCACUUGAUUCAUUACAUCCACUCAUUUUUUGAGGACAAAGUCUGGAACCCACCGAACCAGCAAAAAUGGCGGAAGAGGGAAAUCGUCCUAAGGUCAGAGAGGGAUAAACCAUCGCCGAAAUAAAUGGUGGGAGGAUAUACUUUGUGAAUACAUGAAAGAGAACAUGACAGGCUCAUCGACCUUUGGACUCCAGGAACUUUUACUUUUUAAUUUAUAUUGACCCCCCGGUCUUACUAUCUUUAUUUUGGACCUUACCAUGGGGCACAUUUUAUAUUUUAGACAUCUUGAUGGGGGAGUUCAUGCUUCCUCUUCCCCCUGUCCCUUUAUUAAGGGACACGGGGUUUCGAGGGAUUGUCGACUCCUUCCUUAUUAUAUUGAUUGUUUUUUUUGUUUUUGUUUUUUAUAUUAAGCCACGUAUAGCCUGACUAGGAUAUCCCUUGAUCUUGAUGUGAUGUUUUAGACCACAUAAACGUGUCACUGAGUCAUCUUCCAAUAACAGGGAGGGAAGUUUUUCCACAAGUAUUUCAGGAUUUCUCCACCCCCCUUGGGACAAUACCUGCUUUGGGCAUCCAAAAUGAUGGCAGUGUACCUGGUACAGUCAUGUAGGAUGAGACGGGAGACACAUAAGGGUGCCUCUAGUCUUUCCCUCAGCUUUGGGAUUGGUGGGUUCACCCGGCUCACACCGGCUGUUUAUGGAUGUAAGCUAAUGGACAAGUUUGUGGCGUCAGUUAUACUUAGAAAGCAUAGUUACCUGUAUUUAUGAUCUCCAAGGCGAGGCAAUGAAGCGCUAUGGGUAUUGGACGCAUGCGCAAUACUAGCUGAGUGGUUAUUGGCCAAGUUGGUUUAGGUUCUCCUUACUCUGCUCCUCUCGCGAGAGUGUGAGUAUACAUAUCUGUCCACAUGUAGCCCUGGGCUAGGUGAGCCCUGUACAUGAGUCAGAUUGAUAUGAAUUAUCCACUGAUGAAUUACACAAUAGUUAUGUCCUCCUUGUGGCCCCUCACAGUAGUUAUGCCCACCUUUGUGGCCGUCAUAGUAGUAAUGCCCACCUUUGUGCCUGUCACAGUAGUUAGGCUUAACUUUGUGCCCCUCCACAUUAGUUAUACCCACCUUUGUGCCUGUCACAGUAGUUAUGUCCUCCUUGUGGCCCCUCACCUUUGUGCCCUUUACAGGAGUUAUGCUCAUCUUUGUACCCCUCCACAUUAGUUAUGCCCACCUUUGUGCCCCCCUCACAGUAGUUAUGCCC